GUAGGGAAUAUUGGGCAAUGGUCGGAAGACUGACCCAGCCAUGCCGCGUGCAGGAAGACGGCCCUCUGGGUUGUAAACUGCUUUUAUCUGGGAAGAAAAAGGCCAUGCGUGGCAAAUUGCCGGUACCAGAUGAAUAAGCACCGGCUAACUCCGUGCCAGCAGCCGCGGUAAUACGGAGGGUGCGAGCGUUGUCCGGAUUUAUUGGGUUUAAAGGGUGCGUAGGCGGCUGAUUAAGUCAGCGGUGAAAGACUUCGGCUUAACCGGAGCAGUGCCGUUGAUACAGGUUGGCUUGAGUGUCGGAGGGGUACAUGGAAUUGAUGGUGUAGCGGUGAAAUGCAUAGAUACCAUCAGGAACACCGAUAGCGAAGGCAUUGUACUGGCCGACAACUGACGCUGAUGCACGAAAGUGUGGGGAUCGAACAGGAUUAGAAACCCCGGUAGUCC
RNAcentral lists this ribosomal RNA (444 nucleotides) under uncultured bacterium. RNAcentral describes it as "partial 16S ribosomal RNA". It matches the Rfam family "Bacterial small subunit ribosomal RNA", at positions 354 to 796 of the family's 1533-position model. The record is from RNAcentral.